UUCCUGACCCACCUGCCGUUCCUCAACCUGGCGGAGCACACCCAACCUCAGGACAUUUGCACAUGCCGUGACGUCCUCUGCGAUGCUCUUCCCACUGCUGCUUCCUUAUACGGCUUCUCCCCAGUGAGGCUUUUGCUGGACCCACCUCUCACUUGGACCUGCUCGUUCUUCUCCAUCACCUCACCUGCUUGUUCCUUCACACAUUUGUGGCUCGAUGAUUUCUUUGCUUGUGUUCCUGAACAGCGAGCUCCUGGCAGGGCAGUGGCCACAGCCACCUUUUUCCCCACUGCAGCCCGGUGCCUGGCACAGAGGAGAAGCUCAGGCAUUUGUAGAAGAAGCGAUACACCUUGGUGGUGCCGCGUUCAAACAAAGAGAGUAUGAAGGAAAAAGUGUGAUCCACAUCCGCCAGCCACACCGCUCCACCGCCCUCGAUUCCCUGAAACCCUCUCACCGGGGGCCCUGCCCCGGGGCCACUCGAUGGUGGGGGAGGAGUUCGUCCCACAGCCACGUGCCCCCACGGGCCACAGAGCCAGAGGCCCAGGGUGAGGGAGCCUGGUGGAUGGCCGGUCCCCCGGCCCCCAGCCCCUGGCAACCACUGUCUACCUCCUGUCUCCAUGGAUUCAUGUAUUCUGGACAUUUCAUUUGAUGAAUCAUACGAGACGUGGUCUUGGUGACUGGCUCCCCUCACUCAGCAUCAUGGUGUCAUGUGUUGUGGUCUAGAUCAGAAUUUCAUUCCUUUUUAUGGCCCAAUAAUAUUCAUUGUACGGAUACACCAUCGUUUGUCUAUCCAUUUUUCAAUCGAUGGACAGUUAGGAGGCUUCCGCUCUGUGGCCACUGUGAACAGGGCCGCUGAGAACAUUCAUGGACAAGCUUUCGUGUGGAUGGACGUUUCCAUUUGUCUCGGGCGCAUUCCUAGGAGCGGAAUUUCUGGGUCACACGACAGCUCUGUGUUUCAUCCUCGGAGGAGCUGCCGGGCUGCCCCGCGUCCUCGCAUCCUGCUCCGUGUGCGGUGCGCAGGGCGCUCCCCUUUCUGCUCGGAUGUGCAUCUGUGCCACCCUUUGAACCCAAUCUCGGGUCUAACGGGCGUAGCCCGCGCUGCCCUGUGGAGGGUCUCGGAGCCUCGCGAAGGGAAGCGACGCCCCUCCCCUGCUCUCCGCGCCGCCCUCCAAGGUCAACAAAACUAUCUUUUAAGCUGAACCACGCAAAACCCAGAAAGAAACGAACCUGACUUCUUCCUCCAGCUACAGAUGGCAGAGGCUUUUUUGACCUCUGAAGAAAGUAAAGAGAAAAACGAAGGGAAAAUGCAUAGGUGGAAACAUAAAUUAAAAAUUUAAAGGAACAAAAAAUUAAAAGGAACUAAGCACAGUGGUCCUUAGGCCAAGCUUCACAUUAGAAUCAUCUAGAAACUCUUUAAAAAGUGCGCCUGCCCAGGCCCUUCUCUCAGGCCUGGGGUUCAGCUGGUCCCCGGCGGCCGUGCGGGGCCUCCUGGAAGCUCCUCGGAGGCGGGCUCUGACGGCCGCAGGGCCGAUGGGGAGCCCUGCUGGCAGGGACAGCCUGGGCGCGCUGCGGGGACCCUGUAGUUCACAGCAGACCGUCUGUUGGGCGGGUUAUACCUGGCUGGCUGGGGUUCGAGCCGGUGCUACCAGUGUUGGCAGUGGUCCACUGAGAUCCCGAGAUCCUCAGAACUGGUGGGGCAGGGAGUCUCCUCAGGGACUGACCCGCCUUCUCAGGACAGGGCAGCACUGGCCGUAAUAAAGGGCUGGCGCUCCUUGAGCCCCUCCCUCAAACGUGUCCCUAAGCGCUCUUCCCACCUGCCUCCUUUAAGGCUCUAUGAAGUGUUAUUACCCUUUUUUUACUGAUGAGGAAACUGAGGAUCAGAGAGGGUGGGAGAAUUGCCUAAGGUCACAUCACUUAUAAAGAAAGGAACCCAGAUUCAAACUGAAGUCUGCCUGAUUCCAAACCCUUGAAUUAUUAACCCUUGCACUGGACCAUCUCCUGAGGCAAAGCUGACUUUGCUGGGGUGGGGAUGGGGCCUGGUGGUCUAUCCAUCCCUCCAUCCACCCCUC
Long non-coding RNA from Equus caballus (horse), 2066 nucleotides. The record is from Ensembl. Lineage: Eukaryota; Metazoa; Chordata; Mammalia; Perissodactyla; Equidae.